UGAACGCUGGCGGCGUGCCUAAUACAUGCAAGUCGAGCGAACGGACGAGAAGCUUGCUUCUCUGAUGUUAGCGGCGGACGGGUGAGUAACACGUGGAUAACCUACCUAUAAGACUGGGAUAACUUCGGGAAACCGGAGCUAAUACCGGAUAAUAUUUUGAACCGCAUGGUUCACAAGUGAAAGACGGUCUUGCUGUCACUUAUAGAUGGAUCCGCGCUGCAUUAGCUAGUUGGUAAGGUAACGGCUUACCAAGGCAACGAUACAUAGCCGACCUGAGAGGGUGAUCGGCCACACUGGAACUGAGACACGGUCCAGACUCCUACGGGAGGCAGCAGUAGGGAAUCUUCCGCAAUGGGCGAAAGCCUGACGGAGCAACGCCGCGUGAGUGAUGAAGGUCUUCGGAUCGUAAAACUCUGUUAUUAGGGAAGAACAUAUGUGUAAGUAACUGUGCACAUCUUGACGGUACCUAAUCAGAAAGCCACGGCUAACUACGUG
RNAcentral lists this ribosomal RNA (495 nucleotides) under uncultured bacterium. Its description in RNAcentral is "partial 16S ribosomal RNA". It matches the Rfam family "Bacterial small subunit ribosomal RNA", at positions 30 to 507 of the family's 1533-position model. The record is from RNAcentral.